This 82-nucleotide transfer RNA is filed under the name Deltaproteobacteria bacterium. RNAcentral's name for it is "tRNA-Leu". It matches the Rfam family "tRNA". From Rfam's summary of the family: Transfer RNA (tRNA) molecules are approximately 80 nucleotides in length. Their secondary structure includes four short double-helical elements and three loops (D, anti-codon, and T loops). Further hydrogen bonds mediate the characteristic L-shaped molecular structure. tRNAs have two regions of fundamental functional importance: the anti-codon, which is responsible for specific mRNA codon recognition, and the 3' end, to which the tRNAs corresponding amino acid is attached (by aminoacyl-tRNA synthetases). tRNAs cope with the degeneracy of the genetic code in two manners: having more than one tRNA (with a specific anti-codon) for a particular amino acid; and 'wobble' base-pairing, i.e. permitting non-standard base-pairing at the 3rd anti-codon position. The record is from RNAcentral. Lineage: Bacteria; Pseudomonadati; Myxococcota; Myxococcia.
GCCCCCGUGGCGGAAUUGGCAUACGCGUAUGGCUUAGAACCAUAUCCCGAAAGGGUUGCAGGUUCAAAUCCUGCCGGGGGCA